Molecule: ribosomal RNA, 426 nt
Filed under: uncultured bacterium
Lineage: Bacteria
Also listed under: 1 other name
Description: bacterial SSU rRNA
Rfam family: Bacterial small subunit ribosomal RNA
Source: RNAcentral
GGGGAAUAUUGGACAAUGGGGGGAACCCUGAUCCAGCCAUGCCGCGUGUGUGAAGAAGGCCUUAUGGUUGUAAAGCACUUUAAGCGAGGAGGAGGCUACUGAGACUAAUACUCUUGGAUAGUGGACGUUACUCGCAGAAUAAGCACCGGCUAACUCUGUGCCAGCAGCCGCGGUAAUACAGAGGGUGCGAGCGUUAAUCGGAUUUACUGGGCGUAAAGCGUGCGUAGGCGGCUUUUUAAGUCGGAUGUGAAAUCCCCGAGCUUAACUUGGGAAUUGCAUUCGAUACUGGGAAGCUAGAGUAUGGGAGAGGAUGGUAGAAUUCCAGGUGUAGCGGUGAAAUGCGUAGAGAUCUGGAGGAAUACCGAUGGCGAAGGCAGCCAUCUGGCCUAAUACUGACGCUGAGGUACGAAAGCAUGGGGAGCAAAC